GACGAACGCUGGCGGCGUGCCUAAUACAUGCAAGUAGAACGCACAGUUUAUACCGUAGCUUGCUACACCAUAGACUGUGAGUUGCGAACGGGUGAGUAACGCGUAGGUAACCUGCCUGGUAGCGGGGGAUAACUAUUGGAAACGAUAGCUAAUACCGCAUCAUAUUAAUUAUUGCAUGAUAAUUAAUUGAAAGGUGCAAUUGCACCACUACCAGAUGGACCUGCGUUGUAUUAGCUAGUAGGUGAGGUAACGGCUCACCUAGGCGACGAUACAUAGCCGACCUGAGAGGGGGGACGGCCACACUGGGACUGGGACACGGCCCAGACGCCUACGGGAGGCAGCAGUAGGGAAUCGUCGGCAAUAGACGAAAGUCUGACCGAGCAACGCCGCGUGAGUGAAGAAGGUUUUCGGAUCGUAAAGAUCUGUUGUAAGAGAAGAACGGGUGUGGGAGUGGAAAGUGCACACUGUGACGGUAUCUGAACAGAAAGGGACGGCUAACUACGUG
This 505-nucleotide ribosomal RNA is filed under the name uncultured bacterium. RNAcentral describes it as "partial 16S ribosomal RNA". It matches the Rfam family "Bacterial small subunit ribosomal RNA", at positions 28 to 507 of the family's 1533-position model. The record is from RNAcentral.